AUACGGAGGGUGUAAGCGUUAAUCGGAAUUACUGGGCGUAAAGCGCGCGUAGGCGGCUACUUAAGUCAGAUGUGAAAUCCCCGGGCUCAACCUGGGAACUGCAUCUGAUACUGGGUAGCUAGAGUUUAGGAGAGGGAAGUAGAAUUUCAGGUGUAGCGGUGAAAUGCAUAGAGAUCUGAAGGAAUACCAGUGGCGAAGGCGGCUUCCUGGCCUAAAACUGACGCUGAGGUGCGAAAGCGUGGGUAGCAAACGGGAUUAGAAACCCCGGUAGUCC
RNAcentral lists this ribosomal RNA (274 nucleotides) under uncultured bacterium. Its description in RNAcentral is "partial 16S ribosomal RNA". It matches the Rfam family "Bacterial small subunit ribosomal RNA", at positions 523 to 796 of the family's 1533-position model. The record is from RNAcentral.